UUUUUUUCUCCUCGCAGACUUGUUUCAUAUAAAAUGUUUAUUAUUAAAAACUCCAGCUAAAAGGUAAACAGAGAAAUAUAUGCAGUCUAGCUUGUAUUGACCACCUCAAAUGGAAAUUUCUUGCUUUUUUAUGUCAUGCCACAAAUCAAAUGGGCACCAGUUUCACUUGAAAGAUUAUUUUGCACGGCAUAAACCAAAUAGAACCAGACUAUCACUUCUCAUGUAGCAAAACAAGGCAUAAGUCUAUCCAGCUUAUGCUCACUAGGUGUUCUAAUGCAGCCAAAUAACUGUUGGGACCAAGCCACAUGAGAGUUGAGACCCUAAUCUGACUGCUUGAAACAAGAGGUUCAACUAUUAUUUUCAAUACAGAAAAUAGGAAAUUUUAGUUGGCCAUAAGCCUAACAGUUCAGUGGCUAAAGCCUGCAGUGCCUGGAAGCAUUAACAUCCAGAGAUCAAACCCUAAAGCUAUCAACCUCACUAAGAUAUAACCAAUAAGUUGAAUCAGGGAAAGGAAGUAGCUCUAUUUGUGUAAUCAGGGCUCAAUGGAAAAUUUUUAGAAAAUAAAAAAGCCUCCUCUUGCUAAAGAGAAAGAAAGAAAAAAAGUAAGGGC
This 610-nucleotide unclassified non-coding RNA is filed under the name Hevea brasiliensis (rubber tree). The record is from RNAcentral. Lineage: Eukaryota; Viridiplantae; Streptophyta; Magnoliopsida; Malpighiales; Euphorbiaceae.